GCCCGCAUAGCUCAGCCGGUAGAGCAUCAGACUUUUAAUCUGAGGGUCGUGGGUUUAAGUCCCUCUGCGGGCG
RNAcentral lists this transfer RNA (73 nucleotides) under Octopus bimaculoides (California two-spot octopus). RNAcentral's name for it is "transfer RNA lysine (anticodon UUU)". It matches the Rfam family "tRNA". From Rfam's summary of the family: Transfer RNA (tRNA) molecules are approximately 80 nucleotides in length. Their secondary structure includes four short double-helical elements and three loops (D, anti-codon, and T loops). The record is from RNAcentral. Lineage: Eukaryota; Metazoa; Mollusca; Cephalopoda; Octopoda; Octopodidae.